CAAGAGGGCCGGGCGGCCGCUCCGGCGUCGCCGGGGAGGAAAGUCCGGACUCCGCCGGGCAGGGUGCUGGGUAACGCCCAGGCGCAGCGAUGCGACGGAAAGUGCCACAGAGACCACAGCGCCGAUGGCCCCGCUGAUGCGGGGGACAGGCAAGCGUGAAACGGUGCGGUAAGAGCGCACCAGGUCCCGGUGCAAGCCGGGAUGCUGGCAAACCCCACCCGGAGCAAGGCCAAAUAGGGGGACGUCUCCGCUCUGCGGAGCGCAGCGCCCGGCUGCAGUCCCCGGGUAGGCCGCACGAUCCCUUCCGGCAACGGGGGGACCAGAUAGAUGGCCGCCGCCUCGCAAGCGAGGUACAGAAUCCGGCUUACAGGCCCUCUUGGCGC
Molecule: RNase P RNA, 383 nt
Filed under: Chloroflexota bacterium
Lineage: Bacteria; Bacillati; Chloroflexota
Description: Chloroflexi bacterium RNase P RNA component class A
Rfam family: Bacterial RNase P class A
About the family: Ribonuclease P (RNase P) is a ubiquitous endoribonuclease, found in archaea, bacteria and eukarya as well as chloroplasts and mitochondria. Its best characterised activity is the generation of mature 5'-ends of tRNAs by cleaving the 5'-leader elements of precursor-tRNAs.
Source: RNAcentral